This 108-nucleotide microRNA precursor is filed under the name Otolemur garnettii (small-eared galago). RNAcentral describes it as "miRNA (ENSOGAG00000031965.1)". The record is from RNAcentral. Lineage: Eukaryota; Metazoa; Chordata; Mammalia; Primates; Galagidae.
CACAGAUCUUCCUAGCUCCAUUUUCAGAUGUGGAAACUGAAGCAGAGGGAGGUUAAGUAACUUGCUCAAGUUGCACAGCUAAGAAGUGGUAGAGGUGGGAUUUGUACC